UGCAGGUGCUACCGGGUGGGCUGUUGCUCGGCCUGCUGCCCCUGCUGCUGCGGCUGCUGUGGGGGCUGCUGCAGUACCCCCGUGGUCUGCUGCUGCCGCCGCUCCUGUCGCUCCUGUGGCUCGUGUGGCUGCGGCUCGUGUGGCUGCGGCUCGUGUGGCUGCGGCGGUGGGAAGGGCUGUUGCCAGCAGAAGUGCUGUUGCCAGCAGAAGAGCUGUUGCAAGAAGCAGUGUUGCUGCUAGACGGCCGGCCGGCCUCUGGGAAGAUGCUGCAGCCCAAAGCCUGACACAUUGAAUACUUCGGCCAGUUGGAAGUCAGACACCUGUGUCCCGCACAGCAAUGAAGGCAGCUGCUGACACCAUCAGGGCCACAGUUUUGGCCGGAUUCCCUCAGCCUCAGGCCCAGGACUGUCGUGUGUAACUGAAGAGACACAGUGAGUCCCCUGAAGCAGAAGAGUUCAGAGCACCUCUCUCCUUGGAUAGACAGCACAAGCAGGCAGAGUGGCAGGCAGAGGGAGAGGGAGA
Zalophus californianus (California sea lion) is the source of this 522-nucleotide long non-coding RNA. RefSeq lists it as uncharacterized. The transcript is spliced from 3 exons. The record is from RefSeq and is a predicted model, not a curated record. Lineage: Eukaryota; Metazoa; Chordata; Mammalia; Carnivora; Otariidae.